UUGUCACUCAGUGCAGCCAGCAGAGCACUAGAGCAGUCAGCACCAGUGGCCAGCUGCAUUAGUAUGGCGGAUGACUUAAAGAAAAUAAUAAAAGAGACUUUAAGGGCUAGAGGUACUUGGAACGAAAUUAAGUCUCAUUUAACAUCUGAGGUCGUGGAAGUGUUAGAUGAAAAGGUUAGAAUCAUUAGGUGAUUUGUAAUAUCCGUCAGUGAAAGUUAAAUCUGCAUAGGGUCCUAUAUUGUAGCAUGGAGGGGGUAUAGGUCUUAUGCGCAUAUUGUCAUCAGUUUAGUAAUAAUUGGGCGAAGCCUUUGUAUAAAAGACUCACAGUCACGUCCCGUUUUUGUCUGUCUUUUUGUGUCAACCCUAUAUAUAUAUGCAUAAUACCAAGAGUGGAUAAUUAUUUAGGCAGAGUGUCUAACCUGCCUAUAUUCUGUGAUACCACAGUAUGUAUGUUUACGCAUGUACAUCCGUUUUUUGCAAGCAUAGACCCUUUGCAUUAGGUAGGGCAGUUAGGAGACUGUGUUUUUUGUUGGCCAUCUUGGUGUACAAGGUGGUGAUUUGUGCUAUGGUUGGCUGUGGGAAUUGGAGUGAUAGAGAUAAAGCAAAGAGUUUUUUUCGACUAUUGAGCGUACUCACCAAUCAAGGUACUAAAACUAAGUUGCUGACACAAAGAAGACAGAAAGCAUGGCUCUUUAAAAUAAAUAGAGCUGAUAUUACUCCUAAACAAUGCUAUAAUAUCAGUGUUUGUUCUGAUCAUUUUGUCAGUGGUGUUCCUGCAAAACUCUAAAAUAUGAACAACCCUGACUUGGCUCCUUCAGUGAAGCUAAGGUAUGGAUCUGCUAGUGGUAAAAAAGAAAAGCUUGGAUGCUACAUCACAAAGAUACACAAGAACUCAGAAGAGGAGAAGAUUGUGUGCCAAUACCAUAUAGCGGGUUUUUUUCGAGGAUAAUAAAUUUCGCAAAUGACCCAUAUCCGGAAGUUUGCAGAAUUAAUUUUCGCGAAUUUUUACUAAUCAAUUGAUUUUCAAGGAAUUUAAUUUCGCGAAUCAUGAAAAAAUCCACGAAAUUCGCGAAAUUUGUUAUCCUUGAAAAAAACCCGCUAUACGGUAGUAAUUUCAUUGAAAUCAGUACUGUUGAUACAUCAAUUAAUACUGGAAAUGAGUUGAAAUUGGAGUCUGAAAGCCAUGAUAUUCAGUCAGCCAAGAACUAUGAUACUGAAGCUAAUGAUGUUGAUCAUGUUGUACAUACCUCCUGCAGUAUGGCUCUUCAAAGAGACCCAUCACUAGGUUUGGAAGAUAUGAAGAAGUAUCAGGAUGAAUUUGAGGAAUUGAAAAAAAAGAACGAAACUCUGAAAAAGGAUGUUCAUUUGUUAGAAUUUGAACUGAAAGAGCGAUACAUUAAUGAGGAAUAUUUUAAGGAUAAUGACAAGAAAGUAUUAUUUUAUACUAGUCUUAGUACAUGGAGUUUGCUUAUGGCACUCUUCACAUAUAUAAAACCUUUUUGAAUGACACUGGAAAUUUAUCAUUGUCUUCAUUUCAAUAGCUGUUACUGACAUUGAUGAAGUGGCGUUUAAAUUUACACGGUCAAGACUUGGCAUACCAAUCAAUGUGCAUAACUCAACAGUAAGUCGUGUUUUUCUUUGCGUCAUUGAAAUUCUGCAUGUGAAACUUAAACCAUUGAUCAGAUGGCCAGAUCAAGAUGCCUUGAAAAAACAAUGCCAAUGGUUUUUGUAAGCACUUCCCCAGUUGUAUUGUUAUUAUCAACAAAUCUACUUGCUUGAGCACAGAGAUUCAUCGUACAAACACCAUAAUACUGUAAAGUACACAUACAUGUAUCUCAUUGGUAUCACUCCUACUCUUAGCUUUAUUUCAGAAGGCUGGGAGGAAGAACCAAUGACAAGUUUAUCAUAGAACAUAGUAAACUCUACAACAAUCUCUUACCAGGAGACACCAUUUUGGCAGAUCGUGGUUUUGACAUAAGAGACUCUGUUGGACUCCUGUGUUCAAAAUUAGUAAUUCCAGCAUUUACAAAAAAAGCAAAAAGCAGCUUGAUCCAAUAAGUGCUGAACAAACCAGGAAGAUUGCCAAUGCCCGCAUACAUGUACAUGUACAUGUGGAACGAGUUAUUGGGAAUGUGCGGAAGAAAUAUUCUUUUCUUAGUUCUACUUUACCAGUUGAUUUUAUGACAUCUGACGACUACCAAGAAACGACACUUGAUAAAAGAGUUUGUGUUUCUUGUGCUCUAGUUGUAUGUGACUCUGUUGUUCCAUUUGAUUAAGUUACUUAUUAUGAUUCAUGGUGAUUAUUAACAAAGUGAAAUCAGUAAUUGUCAUUAAAUGUAUUAUGAGAUUACAUAAAUUUUGAUUAAAUGUACUAGAAGUCUAUUUGUUAGCUUUCUCAGUCUUUCUUUGAAAAGCAGGUAAAUUGCGACAGUCAGGGCAAUACCAGUGCUUUGAUGUGGGCUCAGAUUCGAGGCCAAGGCAAUCUACAUGUAGAUGAAACCAUUGGUAGACACAACUGGGAUUAUUACACCCUACCAUGCUGCCUUCUUCUGGACCAUCACAACAGCAGUAACUUGUAACUGUGGAGGAUGAAGUUAAGCUACAAUCCCCUGACUGAACAGAUAUAUUUCGGGAAUAGAAUUUUCCUAGGAGCUCUAGUAAGAUGGCUGUUAUAGAAAAUGUUCUACUUUCAUAAUUUUCAAUGACCAAAAGUCUUCGUCUGGGUAAAUCCUUGCAAUGUAUAAAUCCUUAUCAGUCCAAUACAUGUAGCUUCUCCUUGUACAAAAAUUUUACACACCUGGUAAUAAUAUGCAUGAUAUUUUUUCAAAUCAAAAGAGCCAUCAUCAUUUUUAAAAAGACAAAAGUUGGUAUCUUUAACUGAUUCUUCAAUUGAGUCAUUUUUGUGACUACAUGUAUAUGGGCACUACAGUAGAUAUGAAUUAUACAUGCACUUAAAACUUAACACACUUUUAUUUCACAUGUGCCUUCCCAACAACAUAUACAAAAUACCAAGCCAUCUUAUGGGAGGUGAUUAGUGCCAAAAUUAGGAUAUUGCUUUCCUUUAAAAUUGGACACAUUUUAAAACUAUUAGAGCCUAUUUUUACUUUAUUGGAGCAGGCCUGGAGGAGGCUGACUUGUAUCAUCAAGUGGAGGAUACUUGCUGUGUCCUCAUGGCAGAGUCUAGUCCUGCAGAAAUAUUUGAUGCUGAUCCAAGGCCUACUAUUGUAUAUACCAGCUUAAUUGGUCGCCCAAGCUUUGCUGUAUCACGGGAGCAACUUUCUCAUAGAAAGUCAAUUUACUGUGCCUCAAAUCGCUGAAAUAUUGUGUAUGUCAGUAAAGACUAUUAGAAGAAGAAUGUCGGCUUAUGGUCUCUUUAUCAGAGCAUGUUACUCAAGUAUAAGUGAUCAACAGCUGGAUGAACUUGUAUUACAAAUACAUGUACAACAAGAUUUUCCAAACUGUGGAAACAGACAAAUGCGAGACCAUCUUGUAGCUAGAGGCUACCAAAUUCAACAAAGUCGUAUUAGAUUAUCACAAAGAAGAGUAGAUCCUGAGGGUGCUGUUAUGAGACAGUCUAAUGUUAUACAUUGAAGAGAAUAUUCUUUUCCCUGACCAUUAUCACUCUAUCAUAUUGAUGGAAUUAAUAAGAUGGAAGAUAGUGAUCCAUGGUUGUAUAGAUGGCUACAGCAGGCGCAUUAUUUAUCUACAUGCUUGUAACAACAAUAGGUCAGAAACAGUUCUUUGAUUGUUCCAACAAUCAGUGGAAGAGCUUUGAUUGCCUAGUCAUGUAAGGGCUGAUAAGGGAGGAGAAAAUGUUGGUGUUGAAAGGUUUAUGUUGCAGCAUCCUUUAAGAGGACCUGGAAGAGGGAGUUUUAUUAGUGGAAGAUCAGUCCAUAACCAACGAAUUGAGUGAUUGUGGAGAGAUUUAUUUCAAGGAUGUACAUCACUGUUUUAUGGCCUAUUCUAUGAAAUGGAGAAACAAAGAGUUUUGAACGUAAACAAUGAUGCCCACAUGUAUUCCCUUCAAUACAUAUUUAUUCCGAGAAUGAAUCGUGCUUUGUUUCAAUUUAAAGAAGCUUGGAACAAUCAUUCUUUAUCUACUAUAAGAAAUUUGUCUCCCAUACAAUUAUAGAUUAGGGAAUUAUACCACACACAAACUCAAGAGACAUUCACUGAAGCAGAAACAUUGUCUGAAGAAGAUGCUCAAAGUUAUGGUAUUGACUGGUCUAUUCCUGUCUCUCAAGAAGAUGAAAAUCAGAAUCAAGUGCUAGAAAUAGGUGGUCUUCUUAGUGGUGAAGCAUUCUCAGAUUUGCAAGCUCAAGUAACACCACUGCAAGAUAGUAGCAACUAUGGUGUUGAUUUAUAUUUCAAUGCUUUAAACUAUAUUUGCCAACAGCUUUAAUUGUAACACCUUAUUUCAAUAUCCUCUCUCUCUUAAUUUAUGCCACAAUUUCAUUGUAAUUUUAAUAAUUUUGCUUUUCAGUUUUGCAAUCAACAUGUAUGCAUGUAAACAACACCAAAAAUUCUUAAAAUGUAAUAAUCAUUGUUUCUCAGUUUAAAUGCAAA
Molecule: long non-coding RNA, 4566 nt
Organism: Amphimedon queenslandica
Lineage: Eukaryota; Metazoa; Porifera; Demospongiae; Haplosclerida; Niphatidae
Exons: 4
Source: RefSeq, a predicted model, not a curated record